Alosa sapidissima (American shad) is the source of this 631-nucleotide long non-coding RNA. RefSeq lists it as uncharacterized. NCBI's taxonomy places the organism in Eukaryota, Metazoa, Chordata, Actinopteri, Clupeiformes, Clupeidae. The record is from RefSeq and is a predicted model, not a curated record. The transcript has 4 exons.
GACCAGAGACCUGCACUCCUUUGGAUGAAGAAGGCUACCCGUGUAUACAUGUCUGAACCAUUUCUUGUGUUGGAAAAACAGGAGACCUGAAGAGCUCUUGAUGCUUUUGGUUUGCCUCAUCUAUUAUGUCGGCAAAGAACAGGAGUGGGCAGGAAACAUGCGCUGUUGAAAACAUGGCCAACCAACUGGAGCACCCACACUCUUGUGAAGGAAGUCCACAAGCCUUUGUGCUUCAGGAUGGAUGGAAAGAACUCUUUGAUCAACCCCCACAGAGAGCUGAGGUGGCUAUCUUUUGGAGACACCCCCGGCUGGUAGUGCUGCUGAAACUGGUGGAGGCAACAAUGAAGCGGCAACAGAAAGAGAAGGCAGGUGGCAAAGGUUGCUGCUAUUGAAAAAUACUUUGAGAGUGAGUGUGUGUGCAUGUAUGUAGCUGGGUAGGUCAUGGUACAUGGUACAAAAAUACAGAAUUUAAAGCACUAGCACAACACUUAACUCACAACCCAAAACUACUGACAAUGGAAUUACUCUUUUAGAGUGAGUGAGUGAGGGAGAGAGAUAGAAUAUUUCUGUAAAUGUUUAAUGUUAAUUUAGAAUAAUUUAUUUCUUUGAAUCAUUAUACAGUUUUAAAAUG